Molecule: long non-coding RNA, 234 nt
Filed under: Ananas comosus (pineapple)
Lineage: Eukaryota; Viridiplantae; Streptophyta; Magnoliopsida; Poales; Bromeliaceae
Description: long non-coding RNA (ACOM_LNC012219)
Source: RNAcentral
GAUGUUCUUCAUGGAUGGCGUCGUGGAUUCGGUGGGAUCGAAGGCGGUUCAAAGAUUCGGAUCGUGAGCUCGUGGAUUCGAGUGGCGUUCGUAAAUUCGGACGUGUGUGAGGUUGUAACAUACUGAACUUCUAAAGUUAUGAAAUUACGGUGUAUGUUAGUUUGGAAAACCAUUUGAAUGGUUCCGGCGAAGUUCAGGAGCAUUCGGGCGUUUUCGGUACGCGUCGGGCGCAAA